CCUGCCCCUGAUUGAUUAACGCCCUAAGGUUGUAAAGAUCUUUCAACAGUGAAGAUAAUGACGGUGACUCGUAGAAGAAGCUCCGGCUAACUCCGUGCCAGCAGCCGCGGUAAUACGGAGGGAGCUAGCGUUGUUCGGAAUUACUGGGCGUAAAGCGCGCGUAGGCGGAUUAUUAAGUCAGAGGUGAAAUCCCGGGGCUCAACCCCGGAACUGCCUUUGAUACUGGUAGUCUAGAGGUCGAGAGAGGUGAGUGGAAUUCCGAGUGUAGAGGUGAAAUUCGUAGAUAUUCGGAGGAACACCAGUGGCGAAGGCGGCUCACUGGCUCUAUACUGACGCUGAGGUGCGAAAGUGUGGGUAGCAAACAGGAUUAGAUACCCUGGUAGUCCACACCGUAAACGAUGAAUGCUAGUCGUCAGGGGACUUGUCCUUUGGUGACGCAGCUAACGCAUUAAGCAUUCCGCCUGGGGAGUACGGUCGCAAGAUUAAAACUCAAAGGAAUUGACGGGG
Molecule: ribosomal RNA, 507 nt
Filed under: uncultured Paracoccaceae bacterium
Lineage: Bacteria; Pseudomonadati; Pseudomonadota; Alphaproteobacteria; Rhodobacterales; Paracoccaceae
Description: bacterial SSU rRNA
Rfam family: Bacterial small subunit ribosomal RNA
Source: RNAcentral